CUGGUCAUAUGAUCAAAAAGCUUAAUACUCUAUGUAAUUACCUCUGUAGAGCUCGCAAACUUCGUUAUCGUAAUAUUGUUUUCGUAUUUCAUUAUCUAUAUAAUAUAUUCUAUAUUAUUUGUUGUCUUUCCCCGCUGAUGAUUCAAUGAUACAAAUGUGUUUGUAGUAUGUUUUAAAUAUGGUUCUUUCACUUAAUAAUUU
RNAcentral lists this long non-coding RNA (201 nucleotides) under Mytilus galloprovincialis (Mediterranean mussel). The record is from RNAcentral. Lineage: Eukaryota; Metazoa; Mollusca; Bivalvia; Mytilida; Mytilidae.